CUGAAACCCUGACAUUGCUGAAAUCCACAUUAA
This 33-nucleotide small RNA is filed under the name Bombyx mori (domestic silkworm). Its description in RNAcentral is "ovarian small RNA-14722". The record is from RNAcentral. Lineage: Eukaryota; Metazoa; Arthropoda; Insecta; Lepidoptera; Bombycidae.